UUGAAUUCAUACAUUAAAUGCUUUCAGCCUUGUGCAUGGAAACCUGAAUUCUGGUGGACUAAAAAUUCCCAGCGCAGAGCUAACAAAAAUAGGACACUGUUUUGUAAUCCAAGGAACCUAGAGUAAUCCAAUAAAAUGACUUGCCAAUAUGUUCAGGACGAACGAAGGUGUGAAUAUUUAUUUAGCCAAUGGAUCGUGAACAUAUGGAAUUCCUUGCUGCAAAGUGUGCUGAUGGUCACUGGUUUAAAUGGCGUUUAGAUUCAUGGAGGAAAUCUCUGUCAACUGCAGUUGGCAGGUGUGAUCUGGAUUGUUCUUGAUUGAUUUGUGUUUUCAAGCAUCGGUGAAACGCAGAACCAGCCCCCAUCCCACUACCUGAUGCUUGUGAGAGUGUCUCGUUUUGCUCAGAUGCUAGUGAAUUUGGCACGCGUUUCCAGGUCUGCAGCUCACUCACAGAAAGUCAGCCUGAAAAUUCAGCCUCACUCAGAAGAAGUCAGACUCAAGUCUCAAUCAAGGCUACCAAAAGGGGUCACAAAAGGGAACCUAAACAGGGGGGAAAGGCAGCCAUCUCAUCAGGAAACCUUGUACAGUAUGUUGCAUAUUUGGACUGAGAG
Long non-coding RNA from Hemicordylus capensis (graceful crag lizard), 611 nucleotides. RefSeq lists it as uncharacterized. The record is from RefSeq and is a predicted model, not a curated record. Lineage: Eukaryota; Metazoa; Chordata; Lepidosauria; Squamata; Cordylidae. The transcript has 3 exons.